ACGUAGGGUGCAAGCGUUAAUCGGAAUUACUGGGCGUAAAGCGCGCGCAGGCGGUUUUCCAAGUCAGUGGUGAAAGCCCGGAGCUCAACUCCGGAAAUGCCAUUGAAACUGUAAAACUUGAGUACGAGAGAGGUGAGUGGAAUUCCCAGUGUAGAGGUGAAAUUCGUAGAUAUUGGGAAGAACACCGGUGGCGAAGGCGGCUCACUGGCUCGUAACUGACGCUCAGGCGCGAUAGCGUGGGGAUCAAACAGGA
Molecule: ribosomal RNA, 253 nt
Filed under: uncultured prokaryote
Description: partial 16S ribosomal RNA
Rfam family: Bacterial small subunit ribosomal RNA
Source: RNAcentral